This 27-nucleotide small RNA is filed under the name Sinorhizobium meliloti 2011. RNAcentral describes it as "putative ncRNA". The record is from RNAcentral. Lineage: Bacteria; Pseudomonadati; Pseudomonadota; Alphaproteobacteria; Hyphomicrobiales; Rhizobiaceae.
GUUGUCUAAAGUGUGGAUACCCUUCUG